GAAGAAAAUCAGUCAACUGAAGUUAUAGAACCCAAGCCUUCUUCGGUGAUCCCUGAAGGCAUGCAAGAACCGGAGUCUGGUGCUGAUAAUGUUGAUAAUGCUGAGCAAGAUAGUACAUUGAUUGACUGCAUACCUGAUCCUAUUGAUUCUCCCAAGAAUGAAGUUCCUGAGAAGGAAUCAUCUAGUAGUAUUGAACCUCAGAAUGAUCAGAACUCCACUGUGCAUGGAAUUGAUGAUUUGAAGGAUAAACAAUUAAUUCCGAGUUCAAGUGAUACUAGGGUGUUACCCAACAAGAAAUUGUCUGCAUCAGCAGCUCCAUUCAAUCCAUCCCCUAUAAUUUCUCGUCCUACACCAGUUGCCAUGAACAUUAACCUUCCUCCAGGUCCUGGUGCUCUUCCAGCUGUUGCACCUUGGCCAGUAAACAUGACUCUUCAUCCUGGUCCUGCUGCAGUCUUACCAAAUCCAAUGUGCUCUUCCCCCCACCAACCAUAC
RNAcentral lists this long non-coding RNA (492 nucleotides) under Carica papaya (papaya). RNAcentral describes it as "long non-coding RNA (CPAP_LNC006948)". The record is from RNAcentral. Lineage: Eukaryota; Viridiplantae; Streptophyta; Magnoliopsida; Brassicales; Caricaceae.